This 266-nucleotide ribosomal RNA is filed under the name uncultured bacterium. RNAcentral describes it as "partial 16S ribosomal RNA". It matches the Rfam family "Bacterial small subunit ribosomal RNA", at positions 524 to 786 of the family's 1533-position model. The record is from RNAcentral.
UACGUAGGAGACGAGCGUUGUCCGGAGUUACUGGGCGUAAAGGGCGCGCAGGCGGCCGCCCGCGUGUGUGGUGAAAGCUCCUGGCUUAACUAGGAGAGGUCCAAUGCAGACGGGGUGGCUUGAGCGUCGGAGAGGGGCAUGGAAUUCCGGGUGGAGCGGUGAAAUGCGUAGAGAUCCGGAGGAACACCAAUGGCGAAGGCAGUGCCCUGGCCGACGGCUGACGCUCAGGCGCGAAAGCGUGGGGAGCAAACAGGGAUUAAGAUACC